UGCCAGCAGCCGCGGUAAUACAGAGGGUGCAAGCGUUAAUCGGAGUUACUGGGCGUAAAGGGCGCGUAGGCGGAUGGCUAAGUUAUAUGUGAAAGCCCUGGGCUUAACCUGGGAAUUGCAUGUAAGACUGGUUGUCUAGAGUAGAGUAGAGGUAAGCGGAAUUUCCGGUGUAGCGGUGAAAUGCGUAGAUAUCGGAAGGAACACCAGUGGCGAAGGCGGCUUACUGGACCGAUACUGACGCUGAGACGCGAAAGCGUGGGGAGCAAACAGGAUUAGAUA
Molecule: ribosomal RNA, 279 nt
Filed under: uncultured bacterium
Lineage: Bacteria
Description: partial 16S ribosomal RNA
Rfam family: Bacterial small subunit ribosomal RNA
Source: RNAcentral